Molecule: unclassified non-coding RNA, 807 nt
Filed under: Zea mays
Lineage: Eukaryota; Viridiplantae; Streptophyta; Magnoliopsida; Poales; Poaceae
Description: misc RNA Zm00001eb436420
Source: RNAcentral
ACAUGAUGAUAGAGAUCUGUCAAUUUGGGAUUUUUACACCCACUAGUUUUAUAAAACUUAGAUGCGAGGAGGUUUCUUUUAGAACACUCUUCAAUGAGUCCUCUGCGAGCCUUAUGAGUUCAGAUCCUCUACUGUGCAGAAGCUCACUCUUAGCGAUUCAUCUUAUCUCAUGAACGAAAGGAGACUGCUCCGGUGUGCGGGUGAAGGGGACGAGACCUUGUGCCUUCCUAGUAUCGAAGCAGGAGCUCCUUGUUAGAGUAGAGAAAAGUUGGUCGAAUUGGAAAUGAAAUAUUUAGAGCUUUUCAUUAUCUAAAUUUACCAACUAGAAAAUACUUGACUAUUUUACUUAACUUAUUCAUAAGUUGGCGCUGUGUUUACUCAGGAAAAUCCAACUAAAACACAACAACAAGAGAAAGAUUCUACUAUGAUAUGACCUUCUGUAAUAAUGAACUAGUUUUGCUGAUGCAAGCCAUCGAUUCAGUCUAUAACGAUGAUUGGAGGGUGAGAGGUGCUACGUCUUUCAUCAAAGAUCGUUUGAAAGAGAUAAUAUACACUACUGGGGAGUACCAUUUUUAUCCGAUUGAUCUAUAUCAUUUAGAUAAAUAUUAUUUAAAGAAAGAGAAUUUCCUCUAUCAGUUAGUUACUAUGGAAAUGGAAAUGGAAGAAGAUAGAGGGGUCUUAACCACAGAAUGUGUGAACGGUGAUGAUUUACAUGUCUAUAAGUGUAGAUUUGCAUCUGAUGCACUUCUACGCGUUAGCAAAAGUGUUAUUAAACACCGUCUUAGUCUUAGUAGAUGGAUAUGGAUA